CAACCCAAAAUCUUGAACUAUUGGGUGGAGGGAUUCACAGGUAUAUGAGGGGACAGAAGGUCUCAGGGGUAACCGAUAUGGGACUAUUCUCCCAACA
Molecule: long non-coding RNA, 97 nt
Organism: Telopea speciosissima
Lineage: Eukaryota; Viridiplantae; Streptophyta; Magnoliopsida; Proteales; Proteaceae
Exons: 2
Source: RefSeq, a predicted model, not a curated record